GACGAACGCUGGCGGCGUGCUUAACACAUGCAAGUCGAACGGAAAGGCCCUGCUUUUGUGGGGUGCUCGAGUGGCGAACGGGUGAGUAACACGUGAGUAACCUGCCCUUGACUUUGGGAUAACUUCAGGAAACUGGGGCUCAUACCGGAUAGGAGCUCCUGCUGCAUGGUGGGGGUUGGAAAGUUUCGGCGGUUGGGGCUGGACUCGCGGCUUAUCAGCUUGUUGGUGGGGUAGUGGCUUACCAAGUCUGUGACGGGUAGCCGGCCUGAGAGGGUGACCGGCCACAUUGGGACUGAGAUACGGCCCAGACUCCUACGGGAGGCAGCAGUGGGGAAUAUUGCACAAUGGGCGGAAGCCUGAUGCAGCAACGCCGCGUGCGGGAUGACGUCCUUCGGGUUGUAAACCGCUUUCGCCUGUGACGAAGCGUGAGUGACGGUAAUGGGUAAAGAAGCACCGGCUAACUACGUG
This 468-nucleotide ribosomal RNA is filed under the name uncultured bacterium. RNAcentral describes it as "partial 16S ribosomal RNA". It matches the Rfam family "Bacterial small subunit ribosomal RNA", at positions 28 to 507 of the family's 1533-position model. The record is from RNAcentral.